GGUAGUUAAGAAACUGUUUCUUAACUUUUAACUAAAAAAACUAAGAACCGGUUCUUAAAUAAGGACUUUAAGAACCGGUUCUUAGUUUUUUUAGUUAAAAGUUAAGAAACAGUUUCUUUUCU
Molecule: microRNA precursor, 122 nt
Organism: Brassica oleracea var. oleracea
Lineage: Eukaryota; Viridiplantae; Streptophyta; Magnoliopsida; Brassicales; Brassicaceae
Rfam family: MIR9563 microRNA precursor family
Source: Rfam